RNAcentral lists this ribosomal RNA (446 nucleotides) under uncultured bacterium. RNAcentral's name for it is "partial 16S ribosomal RNA". It matches the Rfam family "Bacterial small subunit ribosomal RNA", at positions 338 to 795 of the family's 1533-position model. The record is from RNAcentral.
CCUACGGGUGACUGCAGUCGAGAAUCAUUCACAAUGGGGGAAACCCUGAUGGUGCGACGCCGCGUGGGGGAAUGAAGGUCUUCGGAUUGUAAACCCCUGUCAUGUGGGAGCAAAUUAAAAAGAUAGUACCACAAGAGGAAGAGACGGCUAACUCUGUGCCAGCAGCCGCGGUAAUACAGAGGUCUCAAGCGUUGAUCGGAAUCACUGGGCGUAAAGGGUGCGGAGGCUGUUUCGUAAGUCGUGUGUGAAAGGCGCGGGCCGAAACCGCGGACGGCACAAGAUACUGCGAGACUAGAGUAAUGGAGGGGGAACCGGAAUUCUAGGUGUAGCAGUGAAAUGCGUAGAUAUCGAGAGGAACACUCGUGGCGAAGGCGGGUUCCUGGACAUUAACUGACGCUGAGGCACGAAGGCGAGGGGAGCGAAAGGGAUUAGAUACCCUGGUAGUC